AAGUGGUGGAGGAAGUUAUGGCAGUUCUUCACAUAUUCACAUCAAAUCAGGAUCUGGCAGGAAGUCCUAAGAAUAACAAACCGCUGUAUGACCCCAAACCCUCCACGGUGUUGUGCUGAUCGAGGAAGAGAGCACCAGCUGAAAUUCUCUGCAUGGACCUUCAAGACAGAGAGGAUUGCUUCCUCUCAAAAUUCAAUGCAGCCUUUCACAUUUCUCUCUCUGUCUCUCUCUCUCCACUGCAGCAGAAUGCCCCGUGGCCCCUACUUCCUAUUCCUUCCAUUCUUCAAAGCUUUUUCUUUGCAGGAGCUACUCUUGCUUGAGUUUAGUGGCUGGCACUUAGCUUCUGAUGUUGAUGAGGGUUGUCUAAUAAAGUUCUAUUGGUGCUUGAUGCAAUCAGAAAA
This is a long non-coding RNA of Elgaria multicarinata webbii, 401 nucleotides long. RefSeq lists it as uncharacterized. The record is from RefSeq and is a predicted model, not a curated record. Lineage: Eukaryota; Metazoa; Chordata; Lepidosauria; Squamata; Anguidae. The transcript has 2 exons.